This 766-nucleotide unclassified non-coding RNA is filed under the name Hevea brasiliensis (rubber tree). Lineage: Eukaryota; Viridiplantae; Streptophyta; Magnoliopsida; Malpighiales; Euphorbiaceae. The record is from RNAcentral.
AGCGAGUUGUGUACACUUCCAGUGCAUCAGCAGUUGAGUAUAGUGACAAGGUUGCGGACACAAUGGAUGAGAGCUUUUGGAGUGAUGUGGAUUACAUUAAGUCCUUUAAGUCUUAUUUUGUUCCUUACAAUAUUUGCAAGACAUUAACAGAGAAGAGAGCUCUCGAAUUCGCAGAAGAACAUGGAUUGGAUCUUGUAACAGUAAUUCCUUCUUUUAUUGUUGGUCCCUUUAUUUGUCCUAAGUUCCCUGGUUCAGUGCACACAGCACUGGCUAUGACACUGGGUGAGAGAGAGCAAUAUGUUUUUCUGCUCAAUGUAUCAAUGGUGCACACAGAUGACGUGGCUAGAGCGCACAUAUUUCUUUUUGAAUAUCCUGAUGCAAAAGGGAGGUUCAUUUGCUCUUCACACACCAUAACCAUUGAAGAGUUGUCUAAAUUUCUUUCUGCCAAGUAUCCAGAGUUCCCAAUACCAAAAGUGGAAUCCCUGAAGGAUAUUGAAGGCAAAAAACUCCCAGGAGUGUCUUCAAAGAAACUAUUGGACUCUGGUUUUGAAUUCAACUAUGGGCUAGAUGAGAUGUUUGAUGAAGCAAUUCAAUGCUGCAAAGAGAAGGGCUACCUCUAGUCAUUUUAGGAAUAUAGUUGCCCGUGUAUAUGCUGUUUACUGAAUGCUAUGGAUGCUUAAUAUAUAAUGGUAACGAGGAUUGCAGAGGAUGAUGGUUCCAUCAAUCCAAGAAAUCUGUGUCCAUAAUCUGGAAGUUAUUAUAUAAU